ACCAUGUUAGCUCAGUCAGUUAGAGCAUGGUGCUGAUAACACCAAGGUCGCGAAUUCGAUCCCCAUUUGGUC
Molecule: transfer RNA, 72 nt
Filed under: Apaloderma vittatum (bar-tailed trogon)
Lineage: Eukaryota; Metazoa; Chordata; Aves; Trogoniformes; Trogonidae
Rfam family: tRNA
About the family: Transfer RNA (tRNA) molecules are approximately 80 nucleotides in length. Their secondary structure includes four short double-helical elements and three loops (D, anti-codon, and T loops). Further hydrogen bonds mediate the characteristic L-shaped molecular structure. tRNAs have two regions of fundamental functional importance: the anti-codon, which is responsible for specific mRNA codon recognition, and the 3' end, to which the tRNAs corresponding amino acid is attached (by aminoacyl-tRNA synthetases). tRNAs cope with the degeneracy of the genetic code in two manners: having more than one tRNA (with a specific anti-codon) for a particular amino acid; and 'wobble' base-pairing, i.e. permitting non-standard base-pairing at the 3rd anti-codon position.
Source: Rfam by way of RNAcentral